Felis catus (domestic cat) is the source of this 73-nucleotide transfer RNA. It matches the Rfam family "tRNA". From Rfam's summary of the family: Transfer RNA (tRNA) molecules are approximately 80 nucleotides in length. Their secondary structure includes four short double-helical elements and three loops (D, anti-codon, and T loops). The record is from Rfam. NCBI's taxonomy places the organism in Eukaryota, Metazoa, Chordata, Mammalia, Carnivora, Felidae.
GCCUGGCUGGCUCAGUCAGUAAAGCAUGUGACUCUUGAUCUUGGGGUUGUGAGUUCAAGCCCCGCGUUAGGUG